GAGCAGCUGAUGCAUGAUGUGAUGCUCUUCACUGAUUUAUGGACAUAUGCCAACUCUCAGUUUGUCUCUCCAAGGAAAGGAUGCUGCCUGACUCACUGAGCGUUUCUGUUUUCUGGAAGAUGCUGAGUUGGUUGGCAAGGUGAAGGGAGCUCCGGAGGAACCUGAGUGGAGUGGUGAAAAGCAGGGAGAACUUUGACAAGCGUCUGCAAACGUGACAAAAAUAUCAGAACGUGGCCCUCGGAAACGGGAGACGACAGGGUUCAAACAGCAGUCCACCGUGUUGUGUUGAGUCCCAGCAGGGAAGCAGCUCUUCCUGAGAGCAGGACAGACAGCGGGAACAGCUUCAGGGCAACGGCGCAAGCAGAAGCCAGUCCGUCAGUGGAUGGAUCCAUCUCCAGGUCCUGAGCUGCAAGGUGAAAGGUGGGAACUGGGGGUCUCUGCGCACGGAUGGCUGGGACAAUGUGCAGGUACGGCAAAUAUUCAGGAAGAUAACAUUCUGCUGGAAGUGGAUCUGAGUACAACAGUGGAGAAGCCUUGCUCCAGUUGUACAGAUUCCCAGUGAGACUGCACAUGGAACAUAGCGUGCAAGUCUGGUCUCCUCCCUAGGAGAUCCUUGCGAUAGAGAGAAUGCAGUGAGUGUUCACCAGACUGAUUCCUGGAUGGCGCGUUUGCCACACGAGGAGAGAUUAUAUUAGACUGGGCCUAUAACGAGGCAUUACAUCACCUCUUUCCGCCAACAUUUUCUUUAAGGGUGUUGACCACUGACAGCCUCAUGAAGGCGCCAUGCCAUCAGUGGCUGCCACCAUUGGGCAGGAGGGACAGAAGCCUGAAGUCCCACACCACCAGGUUCAGUAACAGCAACUUUCCUACAAGCACUUGGUUCUUGAACUGACCUGCACAACCCUAACCCUCCCUCAGCAAGGGAACACUACGGACCACCUCUUGCACUACUGUGGACGUCUCUGUUUUUUCUUUGCACUGAUGUCUAGUUUUGCAUAAUUUUCCCCACCGGCUUGGGUAAUUUAUAUUCUGUGUGUUGUCUGAAUCUCUGUGCCUGUGAUGC
Pristis pectinata (smalltooth sawfish) is the source of this 1063-nucleotide long non-coding RNA. RefSeq lists it as uncharacterized. The record is from RefSeq and is a predicted model, not a curated record. Lineage: Eukaryota; Metazoa; Chordata; Chondrichthyes; Rhinopristiformes; Pristidae. The transcript is spliced from 3 exons.